AUCGCUUCUCGGCCUUUUUGGCUAAGAUCAAGUGUAGUAUCUGUUCUUAUCAGUUUAAUAUCUGAUACGUCCCCUACCCGGGGACUACAUAUUAAAUUGAUUUUUGGAUCACGGAGCUGGAGCCGGGGCUUGCUCUGUCCACUCCACGCAUCGGCCUGGUAUUGCAGUGUCUCCAGGAACGGUGUGCUUCCC
This is a small nuclear RNA of Cyprinus carpio carpio, 192 nucleotides long. Its record names the gene U2. It matches the Rfam family "U2 spliceosomal RNA". From Rfam's summary of the family: U2 is a small nuclear RNA (snRNA) component of the spliceosome (involved in pre-mRNA splicing). Complementary binding between U2 snRNA (in an area lying towards the 5' end but 3' to hairpin I) and the branchpoint sequence (BPS) of the intron results the bulging out of an unpaired adenosine, on the BPS, which initiates a nucleophilic attack at the intronic 5' splice site, thus starting the first of two transesterification reactions that mediate splicing. NCBI's taxonomy places the organism in Eukaryota, Metazoa, Chordata, Actinopteri, Cypriniformes, Cyprinidae. The record is from Ensembl.